AUUGAACGCUGGCGGCAGGCCUAACACAUGCAAGUCGAGCGGAUGAAGGGAGCUUGCUCCUGGAUUCAGCGGCGGACGGGUGAGUAAUGCCUAGGAAUCUGCCUGGUAGUGGGGGAUAACGUCCGGAAACGGGCGCUAAUACCGCAUACGUCCUGAGGGAGAAAGUGGGGGAUCUUCGGACCUCACGCUAUCAGAUGAGCCUAGGUCGGAUUAGCUAGUUGGUGGGGUAAAGGCCUACCAAGGCGACGAUCCGUAACUGGUCUGAGAGGAUGAUCAGUCACACUGGAACUGAGACACGGUCCAGACUCCUACGGGAGGCAGCAGUGGGGAAUAUUGGACAAUGGGCGAAAGCCUGAUCCAGCCAUGCCGCGUGUGUGAAGAAGGUCUUCGGAUUGUAAAGCACUUUAAGUUGGGAGGAAGGGCAGUAAGUUAAUACCUUGCUGUAUGGACGUUACCAACAGAAUAAGCACCGGCGAACUGCGU
This 483-nucleotide ribosomal RNA is filed under the name uncultured bacterium. Its description in RNAcentral is "partial 16S ribosomal RNA". It matches the Rfam family "Bacterial small subunit ribosomal RNA", at positions 30 to 506 of the family's 1533-position model. The record is from RNAcentral.